ACAUCACUUUUUAAGGUUAAUAAAAAAUCAAAACUAAUGAGGAUUUUUUUUUAAAAACCCGCAUUUUCGGGAAUUCUUCGAAUUGGGGGAAUUUGGGGGAAAAGUUGCCGUAACCAUCUGGCAACCCUUGAUAAAGUCGCUGUUUGUCAACUUGAAUACCAACGUUGUCAGAGGCUGUUCACGUGUGCAGUGAACAACAGAAUUUUAUCACAAGUUUUUCGAAUAAGACAAAAAAGCAAGAUGGUCAGAUUAAAACGGUGCUCUGAGAUGAGUGUGUUGAAAAAUAUCACUAUCAGUGUCGAAGGCUUGCCAGAGACAGAAGUGUGGGUCGCACUAAUGAAGACGGCCGUUGCAUUUAAUUCUUUAAAUCCGUUUCACGACGGAUUAUAUUACAAGGACGAAAUUGCGAUCAAGGACAUCCAUAGAAACCAGUUAAGCCUUCAACUAAGCAGAGGCAGAAAUGUAUUGUUAAAAUUCGGUUCUCCAGGAACAAUGGAGGAAUUUUGCAAAAAUAUUAACUAUAUGGCCCCGUGUCCUUCUCCAGUGUCGUCACCCUCACCAUCUUCACCAAAAAGCACGCCCUCUCUAUCUCCACCAUCAAGCUCAUCAUGAGCAAAUAAUAGAU
Tribolium castaneum (red flour beetle) is the source of this 625-nucleotide RNA transcript. RefSeq lists it as uncharacterized. The record is from RefSeq and is a predicted model, not a curated record. The transcript has 4 exons. NCBI's taxonomy places the organism in Eukaryota, Metazoa, Arthropoda, Insecta, Coleoptera, Tenebrionidae.